Long non-coding RNA from Oncorhynchus keta (chum salmon), 4125 nucleotides. RefSeq lists it as uncharacterized. The transcript is spliced from 4 exons. Lineage: Eukaryota; Metazoa; Chordata; Actinopteri; Salmoniformes; Salmonidae. The record is from RefSeq and is a predicted model, not a curated record.
AAUCAGAGAGCCACCAAAACUCACAGACCAGGCAAAGAGGGCAUUCAUCAGAGAGCCACCAAAACUCACAGACCAGGCAAAGAGGGCAUUAAUCAGAGAGCCACCAAAACUCACAGACCAGGCAAAGAGGGCAUUAAUCAGAGAGCCACCAAAACUCACAGACCAGGCAAAGAGGGCAUUAAUCAGAGAGCCACCAAAACUCACAGACCAGGCAAAGAGGGCAUUCAUCAGAGAGCCACCAAAACUCACAGACCAGGCAAAGAGGGCAUUAAUCAGAGAGCCACCAAAACUCACAGACCAGGCAAAGAGGGCAUUAAUCAGAGAGCCACCAAAACUCACAGACCAGGCAAAGAGGGUAUUCAUCAGAGAGCCUCCAAAGAGAACAAAGAUAACCCUGAAGGAGCUGCAAAGCUCCACAGCGGAGAUUGGAGUAUCAGUUCAUAGUACCACUUUAAGCCGUACACUCCACAGAGCUGGGCUUUACAGAAGAGUGUCCAGAAAAAAUAAGCAAACAUGUUUGGUGUUCGCCAAAAGGCAUGUGGGAGACUUCCCAAACAUAUGGAAGAAGGUACUUUGGUCAGAUGAGACUAAAAGUUAACUUUUUGGCCAUCAAGGAAAAUGCUAUGUCUGGCGCAAACACAAUACUUCUCAUCACCCCCAAGACACCAUCACAGUGAAGCAUGGUGGGGAUGUUUUUCAUCGGCAGAGAAUGGGAAAAUGGUCAGAAUUGGUCAGUCGUCCGGAGAGUUGAGACUGGGACGGAGGUUCACCUUCCAGCAGGACAAUGACCCUAAGCAUACUGCUAAAGCAACACUCGAGUGGUUUAAGGGGAAAUAUUUAAAUGUCUUGGAAUGGCCUAGUCAAAGCCCAGACCUCAAUCCAAUUGAGAAUCUGUGUUAUGACUUAAAGAUUGCUGUAGACCAGCAGAACCCAUCCAACUUGAAGGAGCUGGAUGGGUUCUCGAAGGAGCUUAUUUCUUGUUUGUUUCACAAUAAAACAUAUUUUCCCUCUUCAUAGUGGCAUGUUGUGUAAAUCAAAUGAUACAAACCCCCCACAAAUACAUUUUAAUUCCAGGUUGAAAGGCAACAAGAUAGGAAAAAUGCCAAGAAGGGUGAAUACUUUCGUAAGCUACUGUAUCUCUCUCUCUCUCUCUCUCUCUCUCUCUCUCUCUCUCUCUGUCUGUCUGUCUGUCUGUCUGUCUGUCUGUCUGUCUGUCUGUCUGUCUGUCUGUCUGUCUGUCUGUCUGUCUGUCUGUCUGUCUGUCUGUCUGUCUGUCUGUCUCUCUCUCUCUCUCUCUGUCUGUCUGUCUGUCUGUCUGUCUGUCUGUCUGUCUGUCUGUCUGUCUGUCUGUCUGUCUGUCUGUCUGUCUGUCUGUCUGUCUGUCUGUCUGUCUGUCUGUCUGUCUGUCUGUCUGUCUGUCUGUCUGUCUGUCUCUCUCUCUCUCUCUCUCUCUCUCUCUCUCUCUGUCUGUCUGUCUGUCUGUCUGUCUGUCUGUCUGUCUGUCUGUCUGUCUGUAAACAAAAGUGAAAUAAACAAUAAAUAAUAAACAAUAACACAAAAGUUCCAAAAGAAUAAAGACAUUUCAAAUGUCAUAUUAUGUACAAAUGGUUAAAGUACACAAGGGAAAAUAAAUAAGCAUACAUAUGGGUUGUAUAUUUUGUUAAUAUUGUUAAUAUUGGGUCAGUCACAGUGCUCAGGUAUUCUACCACUGUGUCCUCUCUGUUUAGGGUCAGUCACAGUGGUCAGGUAUUCUGUCACUGUGUACUCUCUGUUUAGGGUCAGUCACAGUGGUCAGGUAUUCUGUCACUGUGUACUCUCUGUUUAGGGUCAGUCACAGUGGUCAGGUAUUCUGCCACUCUCUGUUUAGGGUCAGUCACAGUGGUCAGGUAUUCUGCCACUCUCUGUUUAGGGUCAGUCACAGUGGUCAGGUAUUCUGCCACUCUCUGUUUAGGGUCAGUCACAGUGGUCAGGUAUUCUGCCACUCUCUGUUUAGGGUCAGUCACAGUGGUCAGGUAUUCUGCCACUCUCUGUUUAGGGUCAGUCACAGUGGUCAGGUAUUCUGCCACUCUCUGUUUAGGGUCAGUCACAGUGGUCAGGUAUUCUACCACUCUCUGUUUAGGGUCAGUCACAGUGGUCAGGUAUUCUACCACUCUCUGUUUAGGGUCAGUCACAGUGGUCAGGUAUUCUACCACUCUCUGUUUAGGGUCAGUCACAGUGCUCAGGUAUUCUGCCACUCUCUGUUUAGGGUCAGUCACAGUGGUCAGGUAUUCUGCCACUGUGUACUCUCUGUUUAGGGUCAGUCACAGUGGUCAGGUAUUCUGCCACUGUGUACUCUCUGUUUAGGGUCAGUCACAGUGCUCAGGUAUUCUGCCACUGUGUCCUCUCUGUUUAGGGUCAGUCACAGUGUUCAGGUAUUCUGCCACUCUCUGUUUAGGGUCAGUCACAGUGCUCAGGUAUUCUGCCACUCUCUGUUUAGGGUCAGUCACAGUGGUCAGGUAUUCUGCCACUCUCUGUUUAGGGUCAGUCACAGUGCUCAGGUAUUCUGCCACUCUCUGUUUAGGGUCAGUCACAGUGCUCAGGUAUUCUGCCACUCUCUGUUUAGGGUCAGUCACAGUGCUCAGGUAUUCUGCCACUCUCUGUUUAGGGUCAGUCACAGUGCUCAGGUAUUCUGCCACUGUGUUCUCUCUGUUUAGGGUCAGUCACAGUGCUCAGGUAUUCUGCCACUCUCUGUUUAGGGUCAGUCACAGUGCUCAGGUAUUCUGCCACUGUGUCCUCUCUGUUUAGGGUCAGUCACUGUGCUCAGGUAUUCUGCCACUGUGUUCUCUCUGUUUAGGGUCAGUCACAGUGCUCAGGUAUUCUGCCACUGUGUUCUCUCUGUUUAGGGUCAGUCACAGUGCUCAGGAAUUCUGCCACUGUGUUCUCUCUGUUUAGGGUCAGUCACAGUGGUCAGGUAUUCUGCCACUCUCUGUUUAGGGUCAGUCACAGUGGUCAGGUAUUCUGCCACUGUGUUCUCUCUGUUUAGGGUCAGUCACAGUGCUCAGGUAUUCUGCCACUGUGUUCUCUCUGUUUAGGGUCAGUCACAGUGCUCAGGUAUUCUGCCACUGUGUACUCUCUGUUUAGGGUCAGUCACAGUGGUCAGGUAUUCUGCCACUGUGUUCUCUCUGUUUAGGGUCAGUCACAGUGCUCAGGUAUUCUGCCACUCUCUGUUUAGGGUCAGUCACAGUGGUCAGGUAUUCUGCCACUGUGUUCUCUCUGUUUAGGGUCAGUCACAGUGCUCAGGUAUUCUGCCACUGUGUUCUCUCUGUGUAGGGCCAAAUAGCAUUCCAGUUUGCUCUGUUUUUUGGUCAUUUCUUUCCAAUGUGUCAAGUAAUUAUCUUUUAGUUUUCUCAUGAUUUGGUUGGGUCUAAUUGUGUUGUUGUCCUGGGGCUCUGUGGGGUGUGUUUGUGUUUGUGAACAGAGCCCCAGGACCAGCUUGCUUAGGGGACUCUUCUCCAGGUUCAUCUCUCUGUAGGUGAUGGCUUUGUUCUGGAAGGUUAUAGAAUUUAAUAACGGUCCUUUUCUGGAUUUUGAUAAUUAGCGGGUAUCGGCCUUAUUCUGCUCUGCAUUAUUUGGUGUUCUACGUUGUACACGGAGGAUAUUUUUGCAGAAUUCUGCGUGCAGAGUCUCAAUUUGGUGUUUGUCCCAUUUUGUGAAGUCUUGGUUGGUGAGCGGACCCCAGACCUCGCAACCAUAAAGGGCAAUGGGCUCUAUGACUGAUUCAAUUAUUUUUAGCCAGAUCCUAAUUACAUUGGUAUGUCGAAAUGUAUGUUCCUUUUGAUGGCAUAGAAGGCCCUUCUUGCCUUGUCUCUCAGAUUGUUCACAGCUUUGUGGAAGUUACCUGUGGCGCUGAUGUUUAGGCCAAGGUAUGUAUAGUUUUCUGUGUGCUCUAGGGCAACAAUGUCUAGAUGGAAUUUGUGGUCCUGGUGACUGGCCCUUUUUUGGAACACCAUUAUUUUGGUCUUACUGAGAUUUACUGUCAGGGUCCAGGUCUGACAGAAUCUGUGCAUAAGAUCUAGGUGCUGUUGUAGGCCCUCCUUGGUUGGUGACAGAAGCACCAGAUCAUCAGCAAACAGCAGACAUUUGACU